UGGGGAAUAUUGCACAAUGGGCGCAAGCCUGAUGCAGCCAUGCCGCGUGUGUGAAGAAGGCCUUCGGGUUGUACAGUACUUUCAGCGGGGAGGAAGGGAGUAAAGUUAAUACCUUUGCUCAUUGACGGUACCCGCAGAAGAAGCACCGGCUAACUCCGUGCCAGCAGCAGCGGUAAUACGGAGGGUGCAAGCGUUAAUCGGAAUUACUGGGCGUAAAGCGCACGCAGGCGGUUUGUUAAGUCAGAUGUGAAAUCCCCGGGCUCAACCUGGGAACUGCAUCUGUUACUGGCAAGCUUGAGUCUCGUAGAGGGGGGUAGAAUUCCAGGUGUACCGGUGAAAUGCGUAGAGAUCUGGAGGAAUACCGGUGGCGAAGGCGGCCCCCUGGACGAAGACUGACGCUCAGGUGCGAAAGCGUGGGGAGCAAACAGG
This 429-nucleotide ribosomal RNA is filed under the name Chloroflexota bacterium. RNAcentral describes it as "Chloroflexi bacterium partial 16S ribosomal RNA". It matches the Rfam family "Bacterial small subunit ribosomal RNA", at positions 355 to 776 of the family's 1533-position model. The record is from RNAcentral. Lineage: Bacteria; Bacillati; Chloroflexota.